Molecule: small RNA, 29 nt
Filed under: Bombyx mori (domestic silkworm)
Lineage: Eukaryota; Metazoa; Arthropoda; Insecta; Lepidoptera; Bombycidae
Description: ovarian small RNA-23003
Source: RNAcentral
UAGUCGCCAGCUCACCCUCAAGUCGGUUU